RNAcentral lists this small RNA (28 nucleotides) under Bombyx mori (domestic silkworm). Its description in RNAcentral is "ovarian small RNA-35642". The record is from RNAcentral. Lineage: Eukaryota; Metazoa; Arthropoda; Insecta; Lepidoptera; Bombycidae.
UGUCAUCGUUGGAUGAGCUUUCUUUCAA